AGUGAACGCUGGCGGUAGGCCUAACACAUGCAAGUCGAGCGGCAGCACAGUAAGAGCUUGCUCUUACGGGUGGCGAGUGGCGGACGGGUGAGGAAUACAUCGGAAUCUACUUUUUCGAGGGGGAUAACGUAGGGAAACUUACGCUAAUACCGCAUACGACCUACGGGUGAAAGCAGGAGAUCUUCGGACCUUGCGCGAUUGAAUGAGCCGAUGUCGGAUUAGCUAGUUGGCGGGGUAAAGGCCCACCAAGGCGACGAUCCGUAGCUGGUCUGAGAGGAUGAUCAGCCACACUGGGACUGAGACACGGUCCAGACUCCUACGGGAGGCAGCAGUGGGGAAUAUUGGACAAUGGGCGCAAGCCUGAUCCAGCCAUACCGCGUGGGUGAAGAAGGCCUUCGGGUUGUAAAGCCCUUUUGUUGGGAAAGAAAAGCAGUAGGUUAAUACCCCGCUGUUCUGACGGUACCCAAAGAAUAAGCACCGGCUAACUUCGUG
RNAcentral lists this ribosomal RNA (492 nucleotides) under uncultured bacterium. RNAcentral describes it as "partial 16S ribosomal RNA". It matches the Rfam family "Bacterial small subunit ribosomal RNA", at positions 29 to 507 of the family's 1533-position model. The record is from RNAcentral.